This 381-nucleotide ribosomal RNA is filed under the name bacterium AW110. Its description in RNAcentral is "bacterial SSU rRNA". It matches the Rfam family "Bacterial small subunit ribosomal RNA", at positions 148 to 563 of the family's 1533-position model. The record is from RNAcentral. RNAcentral also lists the same sequence under 2 other names.
UCCUGGAAACGGGUGGUAAUGCCGAAUGUGCCCUUCGGGGGAAAGAUUUAUCGCCUUUAGAGCGGCCCGCGUCUGAUUAGCUAGUUGGUGAGGUAACGGCUCACCAAGGCGACGAUCAGUAGCUGGUCUGAGAGGAUGACCAGCCACACUGGGACUGAGACACGGCCCAGACUCCUACGGGAGGCAGCAGUGGGGAAUCUUGCGCAAUGGGCGAAAGCCUGACGCAGCCAUGCCGCGUGAAUGAUGAAGGUCUUAGGAUUGUAAAAUUCUUUCACCGGGGACGAUAAUGACGGUACCCGGAGAAGAAGCCCCGGCUAACUUCGUGCCAGCAGCCGCGGUAAUACGAAGGGGGCUAGCGUUGCUCGGAAUUACUGGGCGUAA